GUCCAUUCGGGGCAAACACAGAGACCUCGGGAGCCUGCCGCACCUCCAUCGAGCGGAACGGAAGAAUGGUGGGAGAACAGAGAAACUCCACCGCCAUGGCCCGGCGCCGCGCCUCCUCUGGUGCACUGGUACCGCUGCCAUGUGCCGUGCAGUGCGUUGGUGGGAUCCUGUCGUCGUGGUGGGAAUCCAGCGGCCCUGGGUAAUUCGGGUGUGCGCCCACAUUUGGCCUCGGUGACCAGCUACAGGAUUCCGCCGACAUCUCCAGUGCAAAUCAUGUGGUCAUUCCGGGUGGAUUGAUGCCGGGGGACCCUGGGAUUGUUCACCGGAAAAUCUACACAGCGGCAAAGCGACUCUGAGCGGUGACCGGAGUGAUUACGCCAUCCCAUUUGGUGAAGAGCCUGCGGAGCUUUGCUACUUUUGUGCAAUGGUGGUUCCCAAGCAGGAGGAAGAACCGAAAAUAGAAGUGCGUUGUUGUGGAUGGUGCUAAGUGCCGGUGGACUCAGCCUUCUUAAUAGUCUCAGUACCUCUUCUAUACUUCUUAUUGAGGAUGGUCACUUAAGCUAGCAUAUAUUUCAAACUUACAAGUAAUUUAUAACAUUUCAAAGUUUAUUUCUUUGAAUCACUUUGUAAUCACUCCGAUAAACUUAAUGUAAAUUUGAUGUAACUUGUAACCUUUUGUAAUAAAGAAAUUCCGCUGC
Long non-coding RNA from Zea mays, 698 nucleotides. RefSeq lists it as uncharacterized. The transcript has 2 exons. NCBI's taxonomy places the organism in Eukaryota, Viridiplantae, Streptophyta, Magnoliopsida, Poales, Poaceae. The record is from RefSeq and is marked validated.